This 86-nucleotide non-coding RNA is filed under the name Yersinia pestis KIM D27. Lineage: Bacteria; Pseudomonadati; Pseudomonadota; Gammaproteobacteria; Enterobacterales; Yersiniaceae. The record is from RNAcentral.
AGUUUAGGUGUUCACAUUAUGAAAGCACGACAUUGCUCACAUUGCUUCCAGUGUUUACUUAGCCAGCCGGGUGCUGGCUUUUUUUU